Molecule: long non-coding RNA, 6020 nt
Filed under: Homo sapiens (human)
Lineage: Eukaryota; Metazoa; Chordata; Mammalia; Primates; Hominidae
Description: HSALNT0223527
Source: RNAcentral
CUCAGAGCAGGUAUUAAGGCGCAGAAAAAUGAGCUGCUGCAGCCUAGCUUGGCUGGGGGUGCUGAACAAAGAACGAACUGCUGGUAACUCCGCGCCUGCAGUUCUUAGCUUGCCAGCAGCCAGGGCCGGGAGAGCAUGCUGCGACCCCCACACCUGCUCGCCAUUCUUUUCCAGCCAAGCAGCCUCUUAGCAACGGCUCCCUGCGUCAGCUAGAAACGCCGAGGUCCGAAAGAGCCGGCCGAGGUAGAGUGGAGAAGAAGGCUGCCUUGGCUGGGUGCAGGCGGCAUCUUCUGCACCAGGUGGAGGACAGGCAGCUUUGCACAACUGAACAUCCCUGAGCCAGCCGGCCUCUGAGCAUCUUGCGCUGGCAGUGCCGGGCAAAGCUCCCGGGAGGGGAGGCUGCCUGGCAUGGAGGGGGCAUUGAUAAAAUGGCAGCCCCUGUCCUUGGCUCCGUUAUGCUUACAGGCUCCAAAUGGCCUUUAUCUCGGUCCUCGCAGCCUGCGCCAGUGCAGAGAGAGAAACGGGCGUCCUACCAGCUGCCGGGAACUCAGGAAUGGAGGCAGAGGCGGAAGCAGAGGCUCCAGUUGGUGGAGGCAGCAGAAACCACACUGCUCAGCUUCCCGGGAGGGAAAGGAAACAUCUGGCAAUGUCUGGAGACACUCUUGGCAUCUAGUGGGUGGAGGCCAGGAUGCUGCUAAACAUCCUCCAAUGCACAGGACAGACUCCACGACAAACAGUCAUUCAGCCUGAAAUGUCAGUAGUUCAAGGGGGAAAAACGCUGCACCAGGAUGAUGUUCGGGACCUGGCACUUGCAAACCCUUCACAUGUAGGGCUAGGUUCACAGUUGUGCCUACCCCUGGAGGCAUAUUAGCAGCUCUGGGAACUUAAAACAACAACAACAACAACAACGUUUAGGGCCCUUUCCAGACCAGAAUCUCUGAGAGGAGGGCUCAAGCAUCAUCCACAGGUUGAGACACACCAGGAUGGAGACCCACUGGACCAGAAGGGGUCACCUGCAAGGAAUGACACGCUGGAGGAGGACAAAGGCCAAAGCAUGUGAUUCUUGCAGGACUUUAUGGCCAUGCUAUGGAGGAGACAAUGCGGAACCCCCGGAGUAUUUUAAGCUAGGGAGUAAUACGGUCAAAUUUCCAUUUAGACAAAUUAUUUUAGCAAUGUUAAGCAGGAUGCUUUAGAAAGAGGAGGUGAGGAGAGCAUGAAGACCAGUCAGAAGGCUUUGCAGUGGUCCAGGACAGCAUUGGUGAGAAUGAAAAUGGAAGCAUUUCCCUAUUUCCCCUGCCCCGCCUAGCCCCCAGCCCCUGGCAAUCAGUAGUCUACUUUGGAAAUGGGUUGCAAUGGUGUGGAUUUCAAAAAUAUGCAAGUGAUAACAUUGAUGGGACUUUAGACCCAUGAGAUUUGGGCAUUGAGAGGGAGGGAGGAAUCAAAAGUGAAGCCCAGUGUUUCUUGCUUCAGAACUGGAUAUUUGGUGGUGAAAUUUACUGAGAUAAGAAGCCCAGAAAGAGACCCACAUGAGUUCUGUUCCAGACGUGUUGAGAUAAAGGGAUCCACGAGGAGGCUGGAGCUCUUCAGGUCUGGAACUUGGACAGGCAUGUUAGGCUGAGUUGUACUUUUGCAAGUUUCUCGAAAACAGAUUGAGAAAGAAGAGGACCAUGAACAAAACCCCCGGGAACCCCUAAGGAUGCAUAGAAAAAGGAGGAACACAGGAGCAAAGGGUGCCACAGAGAAAACAAGAGAAGAGAGGAUUUCAAGAAACAGGGAGGAGUUAACAGUGUCAAAGGCAGCGGAGAACUUAGGUAAGAUAAGUACUGAGGAUUGUCUGGUGGAUUUGGCGAUUUAGCAAAAGAGUUUCUGUGGAUCAGUGGGGAAAAGAAAGGAGGUAAGAGAGGAUUGAGGAACAACUGAGAGGGGAGCAUGCGUAGCUGGUAAAGAACUGUAUUUGUAAUAAUAAUAUGCCUAGUACCCUCAUAAAGUUUUUUUAUUGUAGUAACAUACAUGAACAUAAAAUUUACUCUUUUAACCAUCUUAACGUAUACACAUUGGUGAGUAAAGUACACGUACAGUGUUGCACAACCAUCACCACUGUGCAGGUCCGGAACUAAAAUGAACACUCCAAUAAACUUCCAGUCCCAAAAAGUAAACUUUAUACCCAUAAAGAGUCAUUCCCUAUUUCCACCGCCCUGCUUAACCCCCAGCCCCUGGCAAUCAGUAAUCUUGUUUCUUUCUGUAUGGAUUUGCCUAUUCUGAAUAUUUCAUAUAAAUGGAAUAGUACAAGAUGUGAUCCUUUGGGCUGAUUUCAAAAGACCUUCUCGUGUUUUCAAGGUUCAUCCAUGUUACAGCAUGUGUCAGUACUUCAUUCUGUGUCUAGGGCUCAAUAAUAUUCCACGUUAUAGAUAUAUUUUGUUUAUCUAUUCAUGGAUAUUUGGGUACAUGGAUAUGUGGAUGGAUAUUUGGAUCACUAUAAAUAAAGUUUAAGGUUUACAAAUCACUAUCUCAGUCUAGGUUGUGUCCGGGUCCUUUUAGAGGCAGAUGCUGAAACAAUUAAUGUGCAAGGAUUUUUUUUAGGAAAGCCACCUGUGAAAGAAAAUGGGACCGGGGGCUAGAUAAGGUGGGGAGAACACGACCCAAGUCUCCCUCAGUGAAGGGGAGAGGAAGAGAAGGUUGGAUGGAAUCGUCCCGUGCACCAGAGAGUCUAAAAGAGGCUCACCAAGACCUGUGGAGAGUCUGGAAGCCGAAGUCAGAUGUUAAAGGAAUUCUGAGUGUCCUGUUAAUGGGCCUGCCUUAAUAUCCCUGCCCAGUUCAGUCACUGACUAGAGGAGCUGGUAAGUCCUGGGCACAAAAACAGCAAUGAUCCUCGGCCUUUAAAGCACCCUAUACUUGUUGAUUUAUGCAGUGUCUUCUCAUGGCCCCCACACAAUCCUCAAUGUAUGAAAUGAGUAUUAUUAUUAUUAUCCAUAUUUGAGAGCUCAAGAAAACAUAAUCUUAGAGAGAUUGUCUUACCCACUAUCAAUCAGCCAGUAAGUGGUAAACCUAAUUAUUAAACUCAGGUUUUCCAAUGUUAAAGCAAACUAAAUAUGGCCUGAGAAGGACUCUGUACUUCUAUAUUUGAGUCCUUGUGGAUGAACUGUAGCCAGGCUUAAUAGUCAGACAAAAUCAAAAACCUAACUUAAUAGUAUGCACCCAUAACAAUAGCUGAGUGUUGGCCAAUCCCAGCGGCCAUACUUCAUAGACUGCUCAUAGACUGCUGAGUGUUCAAACUGUGUUCUGUUCCUCACUUCCAAUUCCUGCAUGUCACUCUACCUUUUUUUUUUCUAUAAAUUUUUUCUGACCAUGAGGCACCCUUGGAGUCUCUGUGAAUCUACUGUGAUUCUGGGGGCUCCCUGACUUGAGAAUCGUUCAUUGCUCAAUUAAACCCCUUUAAAUGUAAUUAGGCUGAGGUUUUUAUUUUAUCACUAACAAACCUCUGCUUCUCCCAAACAACUUCAAGAUAUUUCUAGAAUCAGAUUGUUCAUCUCCAUUCUUGGUUCUGUUAUUAUUUGGAAGUUCUCUCAACUCAAUAUCUGGACUAUUGCCUCUAAAUAGUCCCACUGAUUUCCAAGCUGAUCUCUGUACUAAUACCGUGACUAUUUUUUUAAAAACGCACAGUAUCAUGUACUUCAAGCAUUCCCCUUCUCAGAUAACUUGGAUAGGUCCCUACUCUUAUAAAAAAAAAAAAAAAAAAAGGAACCUAACCCCUUGACAGGACUUGCUAGGGCUUUAGAAUCUUUUCUUUCCUCCCCUUCCUAUAUGCUAAACCCACCAGCUGCCUCCCCUACACCUGCCCAAUGUGCCUUACCCAUGGCCAUGGCCAUAAAACUGCUCUCUGUUCCCCCAAAUGUCCUUUACCAUCUCAGACCUCUUGCCUCAUGAGCCCUCUCAGCCAUUCCUGAGUCCCCUCUCCAUUUCUUUGAUCUUAGAACAGGUACUCAGCCUUCAAGACACAGCUUCUCUGAUCUUCAAAGCAGAAUCCGUGCUCCUCUAGAACUUUGCGCAAAUAUGAUUAAGCAUCUGUAAAGCUGCAUUGUAAUUAAUCGGCUAGUUAUUUGGGACUCAAGACCGUGAAUUCCUUGAGGGAAGGGAUGGAGGCUAAUUCAUCUUCACUCUCCCUAUACCUCACGCAAUUCCUAUCACACAGUAGCUGCUUAAUUGAUGUUUAUAGUCAGCAAGACUACAUCAAGGAAAGCCUAUCACAAAUCAAAGCCUUGCUUCUCCGUGGGUAGAGCCGCACUCCUUCUUACCUGAACCUGGCAGCGAAGGCCAGUGUACUUAAGCUUGUAAGUAGAGGAGGGUGGCAUCGUUUAAUGUAAUCAGGGAUUAGGUGAGUUGCCAUCUUCCCAGCUUCCUCCACAGUAAUUAUGAGCCUUCACCCGGCUGUUUGGAAUAUGUGAACAAAGGAAGUGCUUUUCUUCAAUCACUCAUGACACACUUAAAAAUGUAAAAAAAGCCAAUUCCCCUAAUAUCUCUUUAAUUCCUACCUAAAAUAGCCUGAGGAAAUGGAUAUCUGAUGCCGAGUCUUCUUGUAUGAAAAGAACAAUGCUUAAGACAUGCAAAUGUCAGGAGAGGCUAAGGCUGGUGGUUCCCUUUGAUCUACAGAAAGGAAAUAUAAACAAGAAUAACUUCCCAUCAAAGUGAAUUUUAGUGCCUCCUUUUCAACAGCAAUUAACAUGGCCAUUUCAUGAUUUAUUGUUUAGCUGGAGUGAGUCCCACUUUUUUUUUUUUUAAAGCAGGAAUUUGAUCUUACACAGAAUUCUGGCAGGAAUGAUAAACUUCUCUCCCUUCUUCCUUUCCACAACUUGAAUCAAAAAUACCUUUCAUCCCUCCCGUAUGCAGGGUCUGGAGCCUCCUGUGUAGGGUGAAGUCUGCACAGAAAUGCAGUCUGAUGUUGGUGCAAGGUUGAGUGUGCUUGGAUAAGGAUGGAUAUAUGGGUUUUGGAAGCAGUCUAUAAAUCAGCUUUGCUUACAGUAAGCAGCCAUGGCUGUAGAACUCUACUUAAAACUCUUACUCCUCUUUACAAAUGUGCUGUGGAUGGCAAGCCCAGAAAGGACAAAGUCAGGAUGGACCUACAGGUUAGAAAGAGAAAAAACCACCGGGAAGAGGAAGCAGAGGCCUAAUCGGAGCUUCAGCGGCCCUGCUCCAGAAGUCCACCUGAGGCAAGAGAAUAGGGUCUGGAGGCAGGGAACCUAAGGCUGAUUCACUCUGACUUCCUAGUAAGGGAGGAAACCACCCCUCAUAUUGUCUUAUGCCCAGUUUCUGCCUCCAAAGAAAGAAGAAGUAAAAACUAAAAGGCAAAAAAUGAAAUCCACAAGCAGACAGCCCGGCACUACACCCUGGGCCUGGUAGUUAAAGAUCGACCCCUGACCUCAUCGGUUAUGUUAUCUAUAGAUUCCAGACAUUGUAUAGAAAAGCACUGUGAAAAGCUCUGUCCUGUUCUGUUCAUUCUAAUUACUGGUGCAUGCAGCCCCCAGUCAUGUACCCCCUGCUUGCUCAAUCGAUCACAACCCUUUCACACGGACCCCCUUAGAGUUGUGAGCCCUUGAAAGGGGCAGGAAUUGCUCACUCGGGGAGCUCGGUUGUUGGAGACAUGAGUCUUGCUGAAGCUCCCAGCCGAAUAAAGCCCUUCCUUCUUUGACUCAGUGUCUGAGGGGUUUUGUCUGCGGCUUCUCCUGCUACACUAGAACUAAAUCAAAAGGAAAACUCCAACUUUCCACACCUAACUAACAAAAGCCCCCACCCGCUUCUGCAUGGAAGAUGGAAAAUUGAAACUACCUCUGAUUGAUUGCUUUCUGCAACCAGUCAGAGCUUGCAUAGGGUGUAACCUUUGCAACUUCAUUUCAGCUUCUGAUUGCAGCCCAAUACUUCAUUUACAUAGAUAGAGUGUACACCAGGUAACCAAUGGGAAGCCUCUGGAGGGUAUUUAAACCCCAGAAAAUUGUGUAGCCAGGCUCUUGAGCCCAUGUACUCCCGCG